CCCGUCACAUCAUGAAAGCCGUUUGUAUCCGAAGUCAGCAGGCUAACCCGCAAGGGGAGCAGUUGCCGAAGGUAUGGAUGGUGAUUGGGAUG
Molecule: ribosomal RNA, 92 nt
Filed under: uncultured bacterium
Lineage: Bacteria
Description: partial 16S ribosomal RNA
Source: RNAcentral